CCGUGCACCCAAAAUGUUUCCAUAACUCCUUUUCCUUUUAUUAUUACUUCUCCGCGGGA
Molecule: small RNA, 59 nt
Filed under: Caenorhabditis elegans
Lineage: Eukaryota; Metazoa; Nematoda; Chromadorea; Rhabditida; Rhabditidae
Description: Unclassified non-coding RNA R134.4
Source: RNAcentral